Molecule: ribosomal RNA, 970 nt
Filed under: Camarosporidiella laburni
Lineage: Eukaryota; Fungi; Ascomycota; Dothideomycetes; Pleosporales
Description: SSU rRNA
Rfam family: Eukaryotic small subunit ribosomal RNA
Source: RNAcentral
UGAUAGUACCUUACUACAUGGAUAACCGUGGUAAUUCUAGAGCUAAUACAUGCUGGAAACCCCAACUUCGGGAGGGGUGUAUUUAUUAGAUAAAAAACCAACGCCCUUCGGGGCUUCUUGGUGAUUCAUAAUAACUUUACGGAUCGCAUGGCCUUGCGCCGGCGACGGUUCAUUCAAAUUUCUGCCCUAUCAACUUUCGAUGGUAAGGUAUUGGCUUACCAUGGUUUCAACGGGUAACGGGGAAUUAGGGUUCGAUUCCGGAGAGGGAGCCUGAGAAACGGCUACCACAUCCAAGGAAGGCAGCAGGCGCGCAAAUUACCCAAUCCCGACACGGGGAGGUAGUGACAAUAAAUACUGAUACAGGGCUCUUUUGGGUCUUGUAAUUGGAAUGAGUACAAUUUAAACCUCUUAACGAGGAACAAUUGGAGGGCAAGUCUGGUGCCAGCAGCCGCGGUAAUUCCAGCUCCAAUAGCGUAUAUUAAAGUUGUUGCAGUUAAAAAGCUCGUAGUUGAAACUUGGGUCUGGCUGGCAGGUCCGCCUCACCGCGUGUACUUGUCCGGCCGGGCCUUCCUUCUGGAGAACCUCAUGCCCUUCACUGGGCGUGUUGGGGACCAGGACUUUUACUUUGAAAAAAUUAGAGUGUUCAAAGCAGGCCUUUGCUCGAAUACGUUAGCAUGGAAUAAUAGAAUAGGACGUGCGGUCCUAUUUUGUUGGUUUCUAGGACCGCCGUAAUGAUUAAUAGGGACAGUCGGGGGCAUCAGUAUUCAAUUGUCAGAGGUGAAAUUCUUGGAUUUAUUGAAGACUAACUACUGCGAAAGCAUUUGCCAAGGAUGUUUUCAUUAAUCAGUGAACGAAAGUUAGGGGAUCGAAGACGAUCAGAUACCGUCGUAGUCUUAACCGUAAACUAUGCCGACUAGGGAUCGGGCGAUGUUCUUUUUCUGACUCGCUCGGCACCUUACGAGAAAUCAAA